This is a non-coding RNA of Gnomoniopsis smithogilvyi, 72 nucleotides long. NCBI's taxonomy places the organism in Eukaryota, Fungi, Ascomycota, Sordariomycetes, Diaporthales, Gnomoniaceae. The record is from the annotation of a GenBank genome assembly.
UGCGGGUUGAUGUAAUAGUUAACAUGCUGGACUCAUGAUCCAAAAUUGAAGGUGCGAAUCCUUUGCCUGCAU